RNAcentral lists this non-coding RNA (85 nucleotides) under Desulfosporosinus acidiphilus. RNAcentral describes it as "c-di-GMP sequence". It matches the Rfam family "c-di-GMP-I riboswitch aptamer". Rfam says of the family: GEMM was predicted in a large-scale screen for bacterial structured RNA regulatory elements. Genes associated with GEMM are involved in a diverse array of functions, including chemotaxis regulation, signal transduction, secretion and chitin. Lineage: Bacteria; Bacillati; Bacillota; Clostridia; Eubacteriales; Desulfitobacteriaceae. The record is from RNAcentral.
AAUUGAAAAGGGCAAACUUAUCGAAAGAUAAGGACGCAAAACUACGAGUCUAAGGUUUUUAUGCUAAGAUAGUCGGGUUGCCAAA